This is a long non-coding RNA of Suricata suricatta (meerkat), 540 nucleotides long. RefSeq lists it as uncharacterized. Lineage: Eukaryota; Metazoa; Chordata; Mammalia; Carnivora; Herpestidae. The transcript has 2 exons. The record is from RefSeq and is a predicted model, not a curated record.
GGACUGUGGUUUUCCUUAUGUAUCCCUACUGUAAGGACACUGGUGACGCACAGGCGGACGGGGCAGUUAAAGGACUGACUGGUUUGUUGGCUAUGGUGUGCAGUUGUAACUAGAAGGCAUUCAGAAGAAUACAAUUAUUUCCUUCGUGAUGAUUCCACAUCUCAUCUUACAGUGGAUUUAGCUGAUUUCUAAAUCUGCAUGUGAACUUAUAUUAAAGGCUUUGGUUUGGAUGCCACCUCCUAGGGUCCUGAGUUGCUAAGACAACGUGAACGCCCUCAUUUUGCAUUCCAUUGCAAACCUUCAACAAAAUGCUUAACAAAUCAAUAUUGUGUUCAGAAUCAAACCCAGAAGAAUAUUAGUGCCUUUCUAAGUACGUAUUUUAUUCUCUUUUGAGCUUUUUGACCCAUCCAUCAGCUGUUUGCUAGCAUAUCAGCUCCUGCAGUGUUGAAAUUGUGUCUGGUGCAGUGUUCUGUAUAUAACAGAAACUUAGCAAAUAGGUUUUCAAUUGAAAUCUUCAGAAUAAAUUCAAAAGAAAACAUC